Long non-coding RNA from Gopherus evgoodei (Goodes thornscrub tortoise), 112 nucleotides. RefSeq lists it as uncharacterized. NCBI's taxonomy places the organism in Eukaryota, Metazoa, Chordata, Testudines, Testudinidae. The transcript has 3 exons. The record is from RefSeq and is a predicted model, not a curated record.
CUCUGUGCCUCAUCUCAAUAGGGUUCCCAGGCAUCCAGUUUUAGACCAGAAUGCAUAGUCGAAAAGGGACCUUGUUGGCUCCGGUCAGCACCGUUGACCAGGCCAUUAAAAG